This 1511-nucleotide long non-coding RNA is filed under the name Malus domestica (apple). Its description in RNAcentral is "long non-coding RNA (MDOM_LNC010994)". Lineage: Eukaryota; Viridiplantae; Streptophyta; Magnoliopsida; Rosales; Rosaceae. The record is from RNAcentral.
GGGCUCUGAGGAAGAUUCCAAUCGUCUCUGACCUUUCCACGGUGAACUAAAGGUACCAAAGCUCUCAUCUCGUCUCUAAUUUCAUUUUGUCACCUAGAUCGAACCCUAGGGUAGUAGUUCGCCAUCAACUGGAGUUGGGGAAGCUCCGUCUUCCUUUUCCCCCGUUGAAACCAGGCCGUUGGGCUAGCUCACCCAAAACCUAAUCAAACCAAGCCCAUUUGGGCUGUGUAUAGAACUUGGGCCUUAGGCCCGAUUAAACCCAAACCCUUUUAUGUUUAUUUUAUUUUAUUUUAUAAUCCAAACCCAAACCCUUUCGGUCUUAGGCCUUAAGGCCGUGUAGGCUUAGGCCUUCGGGCUUUUGCAUCAAGCUCGUGUAAACCCUUAACCCAAGACCAAAGGCUUCGGCCCGUGAGCGUUAAACCCAACCCAAAACCCUUAGAACCUAAACCCUUUGGUUUGAUGCCUUUGGGCUAUUCACUUAGGGCUUUAGGCCCGAUUAACCCUAAACCCUUUUCCCUUUGAGUCGGGCCUUAAGCCCAAAACCCUUUGGACCCAAACCCAAGCAACUCAGGCCCAAACCCUUUAAGCCUUGACCUAGCCCACUGGACAGGUCUGACCCGUGGACCCAGACCCAGUUGACCCAACCUAGACUGUUGACUUUGACCCGUUCCGGUCUGACCAUUGACUUUGUUGACUUUUUUCUAGUUUUCGUUCGGGACCCUUCCUAGGCUAAUUUCGACGUCCUGGACCUGAUUUUUACGUCUUUUUUUCCAAAUUUAAUCGUUUGAAUAGAGUUUUAUUAAUUGGACCCUUUAUGUGCUUAGGUGAAUUUAUUAUGGCAUUUCCGGCUUCGCUAGUUUACGUGACUCUUCAGCGGUGAAGUAUUUGUGAAUGGACCCCUUCUGAAAUGCAUAUUUUAAUAGUAGAAAUGCAUAUAUAAAAAGCAUGAUUUAAUGAUUACGUUUUAUGAGAUAUUAUGCUUACUUAUAAUAUUUUGGAAUACAAUAUUUUCUAUCGAACCCAUGUUCUUUGUAGGAUAUCUGAUGGAUGAUGAUAUACUACUUAGAACAUGUUUUUACACACUUCUUUAUAAUAUAGAUGAUGGAUGCCUUUAUACUAUGAAGAUGUUUUUGAGAUAUAUAUACAUACAUUUGGAAAGUCUAUAUUCAAUGUUUUUGUGCGUAUCUAAUGGUCACUGUUCUACCUACGAGUGAUGUUACUUAUAUUGCCUUCGGGCAGGCGUGUGUAGGGCACUGUUCUGUGCAUAUGAGAGAUACUGAUAUUGAUACCACUAGUUAGCACACUAUAUAUGAGAUAUGUUUUAUGGAAAGGUUUUAUGGCAUGCUAGGGUUUUCAGAAAACCUACUACAUAUUAUGCUAUUGAUGUUUUCAUAAAACUUUGAGGGUUAGCAUGUUGAUAAUUGUUUCAAUAUUAUAUAUAUAUAUAUAUAUAUAUAUAUAUAUAUAUAUAUAUCAACUUGGUUCAUUCAUGUUUGUUUUGCACCCCCCAG